Condylura cristata (star-nosed mole) is the source of this 1244-nucleotide RNA transcript. It is a transcript of the gene named choline phosphotransferase 1, with no coding region annotated. The record is from RefSeq and is a predicted model, not a curated record. The transcript is spliced from 8 exons. NCBI's taxonomy places the organism in Eukaryota, Metazoa, Chordata, Mammalia, Eulipotyphla, Talpidae.
UCCUGGACGUACCUGCUGUGUGCGCUGGGCCUCUUCAUCUACCAGUCCCUGGACGCCAUCGACGGGAAACAAGCCAGAAGAACCAACUCGUGUUCUCCUCUGGGAGAACUGUUUGACCAUGGGUGUGACUCUCUUUCCACAGUGUUCAUGGCAGUUGGAGCCUCACUGGCUGUCCGCCUGGGGACUCACCCGGACUGGCUGUUUUUCUGCUCCUUUAUUGGGAUGUUCAUGUUUUAUUGCGCUCACUGGCAGACCUAUGUUUCUGGCGUGUUGAGGUUUGGGAAAGUGGACGUAACUGAAAUUCAAGUAGCUUUAGUGAUGGUCUUUGUGCUGUCUGCACUUGGAGGAGCAACCAUGUGGGACUAUACGAUACCUAUUCUAGAAAUAAAAUUGAAGAUCUUUCCAGUUCUUGGAGUAGUGGGUGGAGCAAUAUUUUCCUGUUCAAAUUAUUUCCAUGUUAUCCUCCAUGGCGGCGUUGGCAAGAAUGGAUCCACUAUUGCAGGCACCAGUGUCUUGUCACCUGGACUUCACAUAGGAAUUAUUAUUAUACUGGCAAUAAUGAUCUAUAAAAAGUCAGCCACUAAUGUAUUUGAAAAACAUCCUUGUCUGUAUACCCUCAUGUUUGGAUGUGUCUUUGCUAAAGUUGCACAAAAACUGGUGAUAGCUCACAUGACCAAAAGUGAACUUUAUCUUCAAGACACUGUCUUUCUUGGCCCUGGUCUUUUAUUUUUAGACCAGUAUUUUAAUAACUUUGUAGACGAGUAUGUUGUUCUAUGGAUAGCAAUGGUCAUUUCUUCAUUUGAUAUGACGAUGUACUUUAGUGCUUUGUGCCUACAAAUUUCAAGACACCUUCAUCUAAGUAUCUUCAAGACUUCGUGUCAUCAAGCACCUGAACAGGUUCACAAGCAUAUUGACUAAUAGCCCAAGGAGAAGCAGUUAGGUGAACCCAUGAGUGAAGGAAAUCCCCCUAUCAAAUAAGGUUGUAUUUGUGUAUAAGACAUUAAGUCUUGCACAUUUCAUUAUCCUUAUUUCAACUGAAGUCCUCAUUAUGUUAACAUCAACAUUUUUAAUCACAGGUUCAAGUUCUUCCUUCAAAGAGUCAUCAGAAUAACAUGGAUUGAAGAGAUUUUCGAACACUUGCCAUCUCUUGCUGCUGCUGUCACAUGAAAGGAGAGAUAAUAAACAUGCUUAAUAAAUUUAGAUAAGUGUUCAGACAUUCAGCAAAUAAAAUAUUUCAUUGCUUA